This 74-nucleotide transfer RNA is filed under the name Dipteris conjugata. RNAcentral's name for it is "tRNA-Ile". It matches the Rfam family "tRNA". Rfam says of the family: Transfer RNA (tRNA) molecules are approximately 80 nucleotides in length. Their secondary structure includes four short double-helical elements and three loops (D, anti-codon, and T loops). Further hydrogen bonds mediate the characteristic L-shaped molecular structure. tRNAs have two regions of fundamental functional importance: the anti-codon, which is responsible for specific mRNA codon recognition, and the 3' end, to which the tRNAs corresponding amino acid is attached (by aminoacyl-tRNA synthetases). tRNAs cope with the degeneracy of the genetic code in two manners: having more than one tRNA (with a specific anti-codon) for a particular amino acid; and 'wobble' base-pairing, i.e. permitting non-standard base-pairing at the 3rd anti-codon position. Lineage: Eukaryota; Viridiplantae; Streptophyta; Polypodiopsida; Gleicheniales; Dipteridaceae. The record is from RNAcentral.
GCAUCCAUGGCUGAACGGUCAAGGCACCCAACUCAUAAUUGGCGAAUUCGCAGGUUCGACUCCUGUUGGAUGCA